Molecule: ribosomal RNA, 483 nt
Filed under: uncultured soil bacterium
Lineage: Bacteria
Description: bacterial SSU rRNA
Rfam family: Bacterial small subunit ribosomal RNA
Source: RNAcentral
AGGACGAACGCUGGCGGCGUGCUUAACACAUGCAAGUCGAGCGGUAAGGCCUUUCGGGGUACACGAGCGGCGAACGGGUGAGUAACACGUGGGUGAUCUGCCCUGCACUUCGGGAUAAGCCUGGGAAACUGGGUCUAAUACCGGAUAUGACCUGCUCUCGCAUGGGGGUGGGUGGAAAGAUUUAUCGGUGCAGGAUGGGGCCCGCGGCCUAUCAGCUUGUUGGUGGGGUAAUGGCCUACCAAGGCGACGACGGGUAGCCGACCUGAGAGGGUGACCGGCCACACUGGGACUGAGACACGGCCCAGACUCCUACGGGAGGCAGCAGUGGGGAAUAUUGCACAAUGGGCGAAAGCCUGAUGCAGCGACGCCGCGUGAGGAUGAAGGCCUUCGGGUUGUAAACCUCUUUCAGCAGGGACGAAGCGCAAGUGACGGUACCUGCAGAAGAAGACACCGGUACUAACGUACGUGCCCAGACCAGCCGAC